Molecule: long non-coding RNA, 733 nt
Filed under: Heterocephalus glaber (naked mole-rat)
Lineage: Eukaryota; Metazoa; Chordata; Mammalia; Rodentia; Bathyergidae
Description: lncRNA (ENSHGLG00000047927.1)
Source: RNAcentral
GAACGUUUUGGAAUACGGAACACAAGAAGACUUCCUCAGGCACUGCCUGUCUGGACCACAGUGUAGGACGCGCGAAUCUGCAGCUAGGGGGAUUCUGUGAUCACAAAGAACCCGGUGCUCAGAUUGCCUGUAUCUGGAGGGAACUCACCUGAAGGAAAAGCAACCGUGCUUUCCACAGACUCCAAAUCAUCCUCACGCUCGCCGAAAGCAGGGCGACUUUCCCCAUAGAAACAGAAGGCCCAGAGCAGGUGGCACAGCCUGAGGGGGACUGAGGCCUGCAAAGUGACUCAGAAAAAGAACUGCUCUUUCAGGAUCAAUCAUGGAGCUUUCCAAGGGCAUAUUUUUCAGCACUGAGGGAAGUCGUCCCAGAGUAUUUCAUUUCCAGGUAAGGGUGACCACUAGGUUUUUCCUCAUCCAAUAUGUUCUCAGUAGCUCCUCCAGUCGUCUAAAUGUGGACUUGAAGAACAUCAGCCACAGGCCAAUUUACAACCCUUCCACAAGGGUUUAAAUUCUGUGGCCUUCCCUCUAAUAUACGGUUGUAUUCAAAUUGCUGCCUAUUUGCUUUAAAUCACUGAGACUAAUUUUCUUCUUUUUCAAAUUAAAAACCAUCCUACUUGAUAGUUUUUUAUCCUUCUGCCUCAAAUAGUAAAAAAUUAAGAUCUUUGUAAACCAUACAAUACAGGAUACUAAAAGGUGCAGAAAUGCAAACAAGGAGACAUUUUGGAAAUUUUAG